GCUGCCCUCGCCCGCUCAUUGGCUCGCGUGCUGACGGACAGGUGGGGCGGACAGCCGGCGAAAGAUCUGAGGAGCCGCUGGACUGGAAACUGCUACUGGGCUAAAAAUACUUAAGUAUAUCCUCAAUUUUACAGAUGAAGAAACAAAGGCUUGGAGAAGUAUGUAACUUACCCAAGGUUAUACAACUGGUGAGUGGCAGAGCCCACCGUCUUGUCUGCCCCGAAGCCCAUGCUCUGGGGGAAGGCCAUGAGCUUCCUGCCAUGACUCAGUCCCAGCUGCUCCUCCUCUGGAAGCCACUCCUCCCAAAGUCACCCUGAAGCCUCCUCAGAGGAUUGAGAAGAAUGGGACUGAUUAGAGGAGAACAUUCUUAUGACCUUCAAGAGAAACUGAUUCAGAGAAUCCAGGAGCAAGAGGUGUUUGAGCCCCUAGUUUGUGCCUCAGUUUCUCCAUCUACAGGCUGCCUUCUGUGGAGAGGGGAUCUGCCAACUCAUGAACUGGGGUUGGGGAAACAGGGCACAAAGGAGUUUACAGCGGGGAGCAGGAAACCUAUCCAAGGGAUCUCCCCUACCAGUGUGAGGUCUGGACUGUCCCUUUUCAAUUUCCCUAACUCUCUGGGACAAAAAAGAGGGAGACAAAGUGGAACAUCCUUUUAUCCCACCUCUCCAGAGUCAGAGAUGAAGACAUAUGACCAGCAGCUUCCAGUUUGUAUUUAUUUAUUUAUUUAUUUAUUUAGAGACAGAGUCUCGCUCUGUCGCCUAGGGGGGUGCAGUGGCGCAAUCUCAGCUCACUGC
Molecule: long non-coding RNA, 791 nt
Filed under: Homo sapiens (human)
Lineage: Eukaryota; Metazoa; Chordata; Mammalia; Primates; Hominidae
Description: HSALNT0295674
Source: RNAcentral